UAGACCCGAAACCGGGUGAUCUAGCCAUGGGCAGGUUGAAGGUUGAGUAACAUCAACUGGAGGACCGAACCGACUAAUGUUGAAAAAUUAGCGGAUGACUUGUGGCUAGGGGUGAAAGGCCAAUCAAACUCGGAGAUAGCUGGUUCUCCCCGAAAGCUAUUUAGGUAGCGCCUCGGACGAAUACUACUGGGGGUAGAGCACUGUUAAGGCUAGGGGGUCAUCCCGACUUACCAACCCUUUGCAAACUCCGAAUACCAGUAAGUACUAUCCGGGAGACACACGGCGGGUGCUAACGUCCGUCGUGGAGAGGGAAACAACCCAGACCGCCAGCUAAGGUCCCAAAGUAUUGCUAAGUGGGAAACGAUGUGGGAAGGCUCAGACAGCUAGGAUGUUGGCUUAGAAGCAGCCAUCAUUUAAAGAAAGCGUAAUAGCUCACUAGUCGAGUCGGCCUGCGCGGAAGAUGUAACGGGGCUAAGCAAUACACCGAAGCUGCGGCAAUAUCUUUUAGAUAUUGGGUAGGGGAGCGUUCUGUAAGCCGUUGAAGGUGAAUCGUAAGGUUUGCUGGAGGUAUCAGAAGUGCGAAUGCUGACAUGAGUAACGACAAAGGGGGUGAAAAACCUCCUCGCCGGAAGACCAAGGGUUCCUGUCCAACGUUAAUCGGGGCAGGGUGAGUCGACCCCUAAGGUGAGGCCGAAAGGCGUAAUCGAUGGGAAACGGGUUAAUAUUCCCGUACUUCUGACUAUUGCGAUGGGGGGACGGAGAAGGCUAGGUGGGCCAGGCGACGGUUGUCCUGGUUCAAGUGCGUAGGCUUGAGAGUUAGGUAAAUCCGGCUCUCUCUAAGGCUGAGACACGACGUCGAGCUGCUACGGCAGUGAAGUCAUUGAUGCCAUGCUUCCAGGAAAAGCCUCUAAGCUUCAGAUAGUCAGGAAUCGUACCCCAAACCGACACAGGUGGUCGGGUAGAGAAUACCAAGGCGCUUGAGAGAACUCGGGUGAAGGAACUAGGCAAAAUGGUACCGUAACUUCGGGAGAAGGUACGCUCUUGAUGGUGAAGUCCCUCGCGGAUGGAGCUGACGAGAGUCGCAGAUACCAGGUGGCUGCAACUGUUUAUUAAAAACACAGCACUGUGCAAAAUCGCAAGAUGACGUAUACGGUGUGACGCCUGCCCGGUGCCGGAAGGUUAAUUGAUGGGGUUAGCGCAAGCGAAGCUCUUGAUCGAAGCCCCGGUAAACGGCGGCCGUAACUAUAACGGUCCUAAGGUAGCGAAAUUCCUUGUCGGGUAAGUUCCGACCUGCACGAAUGGCGUAAUGAUGGCCACGCUGUCUCCACCCGAGACUCAGUGAAAUUGAAAUCGCUGUGAAGAUGCAGUGUACCCGCGGCUAGACGGAAAGACCCCGUGAACCUUUACUACAGCUUGGCACUGAACAUUGAACCUACAUGUGUAGGAUAGGUGGGAGGCUAUGAAGACGUGACGCCAGUUGCGUUGGAGCCGUCCUUGAAAUACCACCCUUGUAUGUUUGAUGUUCUAACUUAGACCCAUUAUCUGGGUUGAGGACAGUGCCUGGUGGGUAGUUUGACUGGGGCGGUCUCCUCCCAAAGAGUAACGGAGGAGCACGAAGGUGGGCUAAUCACGGUUGGACAUCGUGAGGUUAGUGCAAUGGCAUAAGCCCGCUUAACUGCGAGAAUGACGGUUCGAGCAGGUGCGAAAGCAGGUCAUAGUGAUCCGGUGGUUCUGUAUGGAAGGGCCAUCGCUCAACGGAUAAAAGGUACUCCGGGGAUAACAGGCUGAUACCGCCCAAGAGUUCAUAUCGACGGCGGUGUUUGGCACCUCGAUGUCGGCUCAUCACAUCCUGGGGCUGAAGUCGGUCCCAAGGGUAUGGCUGUUCGCCAUUUAAAGUGGUACGCGAGCUGGGUUUAGAACGUCGUGAGACAGUUCGGUCCCUAUCUGCCGUGGGCGUUGGAAGAUUGAAGGGGGCUGCUCCUAGUACGAGAGGACCGGAGUGGACGAACCUCUGGUGUUCGGGUUGUGUCGCCAGACGCAUUGCCCGGUAGCUAAGUUCGGAAUUGAUAAGCGCUGAAAGCAUCUAAGCGCGAAGCGAGCCCUGAGAUGAGUCUUCCCUGACAGUUUAACUGUCCUAAAGGGUUGUUCGAGACUAGAACGUUGAUAGGCAGGGUGUGUAAGCGUUGUGAGGCGUUGAGCUAACCUGUACUAAUUGCCCGUGAGGCUUAACCAU
Molecule: ribosomal RNA, 2233 nt
Filed under: Vibrio cholerae
Lineage: Bacteria; Pseudomonadati; Pseudomonadota; Gammaproteobacteria; Vibrionales; Vibrionaceae
Description: bacterial LSU rRNA
Rfam family: Bacterial large subunit ribosomal RNA
Source: RNAcentral